AACGAACGCUGGCGGCAUGCCUAACACAUGCAAGUCGAACGAGACCUUCGGGUCUAGGGGCGCACGGGUGCGUACCGCGGGGGAACCUGCCCUUAGGUUCGGAAUAACUCCCCGAAAGGGGUGCUAAUACCGGAUAAUGUCUUCGGACCAAAGAUUUAUCGCCUUUGGAUGGGCCCGCGUUGGAUUAGCUAGUUGGUAGGGUAAAAGCCUACCAAGGCGACGAUCCAUAGCUGGUCUGAGAGGAUGAUCAGCCACACUGGGACUGAGACACGGCCCAGACUCCUACGGGAGGCAGCAGUGGGGAAUAUUGGACAAUGGGCGAAAGCCUGAUCCAGCAAUGCCGCGUGAGUGAUGAAGGCCUUAGGGUUGUAAAGCUCUUUUACCCGGGAUGAUAAUGACAGUACCGGGAGAAUAAGCACCGGCUAACUCCGUG
This 433-nucleotide ribosomal RNA is filed under the name uncultured bacterium. Its description in RNAcentral is "partial 16S ribosomal RNA". It matches the Rfam family "Bacterial small subunit ribosomal RNA", at positions 29 to 507 of the family's 1533-position model. The record is from RNAcentral.